CGCGGCCUAUCAGCUUGUUGGUGGGGUGAUGGCCUACCAAGGCGUCGACGGGUCGCCGGCCUGAGAGGGCGACCGGCCACACUGGGACUGAGACACGGCCCGGACUCCUACGGGAGGCAGCAGUGGGGAAUAUUGCACAAUGGGCGAAAGCCUGAUGCAGCGACGCCGCGUGAGGGAUGACGGCCUUCGGGUUGUAAACCUCUUUCAGCAGGGAAGAAGGCCUUCGGGUGGACGGUACCUGCAGAAGAAGCGCCGGCUAACUACGUGCCAGCAGCCGCGGUAAUACGUAGGGCGCAAGCGUUGUCCGGAAUUAUUGGGCGUAAAGAGCUCGUAGGCGGUUUGUCGCGUCUGGUGUGAAAUCCCGAGGCUCAACCUCGGGCUUGCAUCGGGUACGGGCAGACUAGAGUACUGUAGGGGAGACUGGAAUUCCUGGUGUAGCGGUGGAAUGCGCAGAUAUCAGGAGGAACACCGAUGGCGAGGGCAGGUCUCUGGGCAGUUACUGACGCUGAGGAGCGAAAGCAUGGGGAGCGAACAGGAUUAGAUACCCUGGUAGUCCAUGCCGUAAACGUUGGGCACUAGGUGUGGGGCCCAUUCCACGAGUUCCGUGCCGCAGCUAACGCAUUAAGUGCCCCGCCUGGGGAGUACGG
This 647-nucleotide ribosomal RNA is filed under the name uncultured Actinomycetes bacterium. RNAcentral describes it as "bacterial SSU rRNA". It matches the Rfam family "Bacterial small subunit ribosomal RNA", at positions 232 to 885 of the family's 1533-position model. The record is from RNAcentral. Lineage: Bacteria; Bacillati; Actinomycetota; Actinomycetes.